CUGCCCCAUAGUCUGGGAUACCACUUGGAAACAGGUGCUAAUACCGGAUAAGAAAGCAGAUCGCAUGAUCAGCUUUUAAAAGGCGGCGUAAGCUGUCGCUAUGGGAUGGCCCCGCGGUGCAUUAGCUAGUUGGUAAGGUAAAGGCUUACCAAGGCGAUGAUGCAUAGCCGAGUUGAGAGACUGAUCGGCCACAUUGGGACUGAGACACGGCCCAAACUCCUACGGGAGGCAGCAGUAGGGAAUCUUCCACAAUGGACGCAAGUCUGAUGGAGCAACGCCGCGUGAGUGAAGAAGGUUUUCGGAUCGUAAAGCUCUGUUGUUGGUGAAGAAGGAUAGAGGUAGUAACUGGCCUUUAUUUGACGGUAAUCAACCAGAAAGUCACGGCUAACUACGUGCCAGCAGCCGCGGUAAUACGUAGGUGGCAAGCGUUGUCCGGAUUUAUUGGGCGUAAAGCGAGCGCAGGCGGAAGAAUAAGUCUGAUGUGAAAGCCCUCGGCUUAACCGAGGAACUGCAUCGGAAACUGUUUUUCUUGAGUGCAGAAGAGGAGAGUGGAACUCCAUGUGUAGCGGUGGAAUGCGUAGAUAUAUGGAAGAACACCAGUGGCGAAGGCGGCUCUCUGGUCUGCAACUGACGCUGAGGCUCGAAAGCAUGGGUAGCGAACAGGAUUAGAUACCCUGGUAGUCCAUGCCGUAAACGAUGAGUGCUAAGUGUUGGGAGGUUUCCGCCUCUCAGUGCUGCAGCUAACGCAUUAA
RNAcentral lists this ribosomal RNA (752 nucleotides) under uncultured bacterium. RNAcentral describes it as "bacterial SSU rRNA". It matches the Rfam family "Bacterial small subunit ribosomal RNA", at positions 126 to 863 of the family's 1533-position model. The record is from RNAcentral.